Sinocyclocheilus grahami is the source of this 339-nucleotide long non-coding RNA. RefSeq lists it as uncharacterized. The record is from RefSeq and is a predicted model, not a curated record. The transcript has 4 exons. NCBI's taxonomy places the organism in Eukaryota, Metazoa, Chordata, Actinopteri, Cypriniformes, Cyprinidae.
GAGCAUACAGUAUAUAUACACAUUAUAAAGUGUUAUAUAUAAUAUAUACAAAAAUAACGUAGAAUGAAUGUGGCCUAGUUAUGUUUAAUGGCAAGUCAUAGAAACGGAUCGCUUGGUCUACUAUCAGCUCUCCUUCAUGACCAGAACCGACUGGUAUUGUGCAGCCUAUUGUAAGAUACCUCCAGAUUCGCCUCCAGAAUCGCAUGACUCUCCGUUGGAUAUCAGCAUGUGUCGAGUGUUAUCCAGUGACCCGUCAUUGAUUUCUGGCUUUAUCCUCAGUGUUUACUGAAUCCUCACCCCAUUGAUGACAUAUCCUGGGUCUGCGAAGAGAACGAUGGG